AGCGUAGGCGGACAUUUAAGUCAGGGGUGAAAUCCCGGGGCUCAACCUCGGAAUUGCCUUUGAUACUGGGUGUCUUGAGUAUGAGAGAGGUGUGUGGAACUCCGAGUAUAGAGGUGAAAUUCGUAGAUAUUCGGAAGAACACCAGUGGCGAAGGCGACACACUGGCUCAUUACUGACGCUGAGGCUCGAAAGCGUGGGGAGCAAACA
Molecule: ribosomal RNA, 207 nt
Filed under: uncultured bacterium
Lineage: Bacteria
Description: partial 16S ribosomal RNA
Rfam family: Bacterial small subunit ribosomal RNA
Source: RNAcentral